GGAGUCAGCAAAGAGAGGCUAGGAAGUUGCACUGGCAGCUGAGAAAAUAAGGGAGAAGUGACUUCAGCUGCCACUGCCCAGACUCAACAGCCUCAUAUUGCCUGACAAAUGUAGCUGGUCCUGGAUUUGGAAAAAGAUUCUGCAUGGAACUGUGUAAGAGGCUUGAUACAUCAGGCAAACUUCAGUGGAGUUAUUCUGGCCUCACACUGUUGGGCAGAUCUUUGCUUCUUUGAGGGCCUGGUCUUCACAGUCAGUUUUGGGGUGACUCCUCCAAGUAGUCUUAGUGGCUGUGAGAGAUGACCCCAGCAGUCUACAAAGCCUGAAGAUCCUUCCUAAAAAGAUGAACCCUAUGAUCUGUGCCUGUAAGUACUAAAUCAACUUUUGACAAGUUAAGAACAAUGCAGUCCCAGGGUUUGAGGAAUAGGUGGUUGCUGCCAAACCACAAUAAAUGCUUUUGUCUGGAACUCAUGGAACAGUAACAUAGCAAUGGAGGGUGUACCCUUGUCUGUUAUUCCCUCUGAGCAAAUUCUCAGAGACAUGUUACUAGGAUUCAGAUUGAUGUCAUGGAACUAGUAGAGAAACAGGCUUUCAUUUCCUUACAAAGGGAGGAAGAGACAAUGGAACUCAGCAAAACAUAUGGCCUUUUGUUUGGUUCCUGUCUGAGAGUUAUACAAGCAAAACCCAGUGCCCGUCCCCAGACAGCACUCUGAAGUGAAACUCACGUGAGAAAAUGUGCUUUACCUUUCUUCUGUUAUGAGUUGACAAAAUUGCUUUACUUCCCCUGUGUAUGUAUAAACACAACCUAUGUCUUCAACUGAUCUACAACCAGAGAGUAUGAAUCAGAAUCCAAAAAGUUCAAGGAAGUUUUGAGCUGAUGUUUUGGUUCACUGUCAGCUCUGUAGAAAAUACCUACAUAAAUAAGAAAUACUUGCAUGAGUACAAAAUAAAUAAGCCUCUUGUUUUUGUAAGAGAGGGCCUAGAAGGAUCAAGUCCAGUAACACUGUCAUGAACUACUAAUUAAGCAGUGUCCUGAAACCAUGUAGACUCUUUCCACUAUGUUUGUUAGAAACCUUCUUCAAUUUCCAGACUAGAUUUAUUAAUGACUAGUGUGUUCACAUAUCUUAUUGUGCCAAAGCUUUCUUCUAGUUUAGAUUAUACACAAAGAGAAUGUGAGCCUGAAUAUUCUGUUUCACCUGCUUUUUGUCUCUUUCAGGAGAAAAAAAAUAAGGAGCUUAAAUAUAAGGUCACCUUGUAUUCAAGGUCGAAUUGCUUCCUUCUGCAAUUCAAGGGGGGAGAGGAAGAAUAAGCAAAAGGAACAGCUGAUGAAAAAGUGCUUUAUAUUUAGGUUUGUGUAACUUAGAAUGGCCCAGCCUUUUAGCAUCAGCAUCCCUGCUCUGACAGUUGCCCUGUUAUCUUGUGUCUGGGUAAAUACAGUCAAUUUUCUUUCUUUGUGUUAUAUUUACAGAAACAAAUGUGUGCCCUCUGUUUCUGUGUUGCUAGAGUGAAAAAACCCAAACUUUUCUCAUACAACUGUUUCUUCUUCAGCCACUCAGGUGGUCCUUUUCUGAUUCAGUGUAACUUCCUGAGCAUGGGUCACCAAGCCCAAUUCCACCAGACUGGUGAUGACAACAUGAGGUAAGAGGUUUUCAGACACUGUUGUUUGUGAAGAGGACUGAUUUUCUGAGGAUGAAUUCUCAGCAAAUUCUAAGGAGGUGCCUUUACAAGGUAUCUAGUUCCAUAAAUCUCAGUCAGUCAUGAGGGAAUCUUGACCUAAGUAAAUAACUUCAGGUAGAUUAAUGCAAAUAUAUAGACCUGAACUGGCAAGGACCUGCUUCACACACAAGAAUUAGCCCCCCGGACUACUCGGGGUAGUAGCAUCUGGUGUCUUUUAUUCACACGUGCAAUAGCAUCUGUGUGUGCAUGAGGAGCACUGACUGAAGCUCUGUGAGUGACUGCCAGAGUCUUUCUAGCAUCUCUGGAAAAGGCAACUUCUCCACAAGGUGAACUGAUCUUCAGGGGCAUCUUUCCUGCACCACUCCAGUAUUCCACCAGUGGAGACUUCUGGGGAACUGGUAAGAGGAAAUAUUCAAAGUGACCUCCAGAGCAAGAUACUCCUGCUGAGAAGUUGAGUAGUUUAAGAUCUGAUUUUAAGAGGUCCUGAAUACCUUCUAGAAGUUGCUUCCUAAAGUGUCUGCACAUCAGCACCCUACAUAUUUUAAACUGAGCAUACAAAAACCCAGCACGGAUGGACACUCUUAAAUGUGGUGGCCUACGUGACUUCCUCAGAGUCACUUGGCAGUUCAAGAAUAGAAAUAGGAACACGGGGUUUCUUAUGUCUAUUGUGUCCAUUAGAACAAUACUGCUGAGAGCAACAGAGACCAAAGGCCUGGUCUUCAAAAUGUAUUACUUGAAAAGAAAACUGCAUAUUUUUUUGGAAGGUCCAAAUGUAUUUAAUUCGGCUUUGGUGCUACACCCAAAGUUUGGUUGUAAACAAGUAUGAUUUUUACCCUGGAAGCCACACAUCUGGGUUGCAGUGCCUAUAACUGUUUUCAUCAUCACAAGUAGUUACUGGCUUCAUAAUGGUCUGUGUGUGCAGAAAACAGCUUGCAAGAGGUAACCUGUGCAAACUCUUAUUUUAUCAUUUAAGAGCUUAAAAUGUCUUAUAUCACCAGGCUGCAAGAUGGCCACAGCCUUUAACUCUCUAUAUGUGACCCUGGAGUCUGAACAUUCUGCAUUUCUAGCCCUGCAGAGUUCUUCUGAUUCUGACCUGCUGUCUAUCAAAUUUCCAUGUUCUUUGUCCAGAUAGGUCAACUGUCCAAAGCAAUGAUGUACCAACUACUUUUGUGGGACAUGAGGGUGAGCUUGAGUAGAGCUCACCUACAGCUCUAAACCUUUUUGUAGCUAUACAGUAAUACAACUUGGAGAAUAAUUUCUGUACAUCGUAAAUACAGUGAUGUAAGUCUGUCAGUAUUAUCAAUACUCAAUGCCAAUAUUACCAGUACUCAAGUGAUCAAAUAAUCUCCUGUUUAAAUAACAGGUUUCUUUCUCACUGAACUGUUGGUGUAUCCUGGAGUCUUUGGUGGCUGCAUUGUGGAGACUGGAUAUAUUUGAAUUAAUUAAUAUUUAAAAUGUUAUAUGUCCCUGAUUCCAGCCUCAGUUCCACAAACCAUGGCAAUGCAGGUGAUCACAGAAAAGCCACUGGAGCAAAUAGCCACUGAAUUCCAAUAUGGACAAGGAACCACAGAAAGGGACAGGGAACUUGAAGACUUCCAGUUUGUGCACAGUUCAUACAAAGCAGGGGCUUGGGGGUACAUGGCUGCUGGCAGAAUGAGAAGGGGACAUGAACUGUACACUUGAAGGGAGUGAGGACACCUAGAUUUGUUGGGAGGAACUGGCAGAUUUCACUGCUUCUUUACCUUACAUUCUUUGGGAAGGUCAUCUAAAAAGCCUUUCUAAACUCCCAAGCAUGGAGUUAAGGUCCUUAGGGUGGAAGAGUAAAAUAUAGUGCUUUUGCUGAAAAAUUGCUGGUACUUUCUGCUCCUAAAUUGUUCCUACUCCUAGUUAGACCUGUGGCUUGCCAACUGACUUCUGACUUGUUGCUGAUUACCCCAUGUUCCCAGUUUCCUGGGCAAUUCCUUGCUCUCACGAGCAGAAAUAGGGACAGAGCCAUAGAACAGUCACUUAUUAACCACAUCACUUCAAGCAAACAGGACUGCACCCCCUGUCUGAGCAGCCCCUGGAUGUGGCAUUGUUUAAAGCUCUGCAGGUGCUCUGGUGGCCCAGGAAAGGCGGACUGGAAAGGGCAGAGACUCAGACCUUCAUCUAACAUCUGGCAUUCUUGUACACCUCUUGUAACCUCUUGGACCCCCUAGCUGGGGGUCUCUGUUGACCUGUUUCAUAAAUCAUUAAUAAUUGAUACUUCUAAAUACAUACUUUCUCUGUGUCUUCUCCAGUAGUCAGGAUUAAUUUUGCAUGGGUCUAUGCAUUUACUCUGUUCUUCAGCAGUCACAGAAAUUACUCUCUUGGCCAGAUUUAUGAAUGAUGUUCCACAUUUAUUAGAUAUUCUAUCAAGUCAAGUCUAGGGAUCUGUCCUUGUUUCUGUCUAACAGCAUUUUUCUCCUCUAAUAAACAAUGUGUUGCACUGUUUAGAUACCUGUAAUUUACACCCUUUUGUUUGUUUGUUUUUGAGUUUAAGUUCAUUAUUAACAUUUUAUAUGAAGCAAGGUAUUGAAUUGGAAAGUUAAUUGACUUUUCAACCCUGGAAUCACCCAAAGACUGGUUUACAUUCCAAAUAAAAUAUCUGGUGGGUUUCACAACAGUCUCUACCAGUGCCUAUUGCAAUGUUGCUGUUGGGAAAAAGUGAAUUUAUUAAGGCAGUAUAUUUUAAAAAUUGGCUCCAGCACCACACAGCUGGCAACAAGGAAAAAAUAAUGUAAGGCAGCAUGUAAAAAACUUGUUCUCUAGUUAGACUGUGAAUUUUCCAAUAACUGCCUCCAAUAGACCACCCUAUGACACUGAUUGCAAACAUAUAAAGCCUGAUUGUUUCUAAAGUUAUAUAAAUAAAAUGUAGACAUUGAAAUGCCAACCUCCCACUAUUUGCCUCCAACCUUUUCUUUUCAUCUCUUGCUGCUUAUUUUGCCUUUUGCUUUCCUGGUGUCUUUCCUCUCACUUUCCUUUCAGAACCCCUCUCUUUUUCUCUCAGAACUGAGCAGAGAUUUUAGCUUUAAUGGCAGAAUAGGAGCCAGCAGACAAUGAAAAGAUGCCAGGGCAGCAAAUUCUGUCAGUAGACCAAGCACCCAAGAAAAGAGCAGUGCAGGUUAUGAGUGUGUGCACACAACUUUCACAUGCCACAUGCCUGGCACCAACCUGAGAAAACCAGCGUGUCAGUAAUUUUGUAAAGCAUAAGCCCAGCUCAGGGUGUUGUGUCACUUGUAGCCAUUGGUUUUACACCUUGCUACUGUUCUGAGAUCACCUUCUAAUCUUUCAUCUCUCAUGCCUCUCUUUUAAAUAAAAACAGCUUAAUAAUCAAAGAAAAAAAAUACCUGGAGAAGUACAAUAUACAAAUUUUGGGGGUGAAAAAGCUUUCAGACUCCAGCAAGGUUUAUUGAGCCUAA
This is a long non-coding RNA of Apus apus (common swift), 5114 nucleotides long. RefSeq lists it as uncharacterized. The record is from RefSeq and is a predicted model, not a curated record. Lineage: Eukaryota; Metazoa; Chordata; Aves; Apodiformes; Apodidae. The transcript is spliced from 3 exons.